Sus scrofa (pig) is the source of this 162-nucleotide non-coding RNA. Lineage: Eukaryota; Metazoa; Chordata; Mammalia; Artiodactyla; Suidae. The record is from Rfam.
AUACUUACCUGGCAGGGGAGAUAAUGAUCCGGCAUGUGGUUUUCCCAAGGCGAGAGUUAUCCAUUGCGCUGCGGGUGUGCUGAUCCCUGCAAUCUCCCCACAUGUGGGAAACUCGACUGCAUAAUUUGUGGUAGUGGGGGACUGCGUUCACGCUCUCCCCUG